CCUACGGGAGGCAGCAGUGGGGAAUAUUGGACAAUGGGGGGAACCCUGAUCCAGCGACGCCGCGUGAGUGAAGAAGUAUUUCGGUAUGUAAAGCUCUAUCAGCAGGGAAGAAAGAAAUGACGGUACCUGACUAAGAAGCCCCGGCUAACUACGUGCAAGCAGCCGCGGUAAUACGUAGGGGGCAAGCGUUAUCCGGAUUUACUGGGGGGAAAGGAGGCGUAGACGGCGAUGCAAGUCUGAAGUGAAAGGCGGGGGCGCAACCCCCGGACUGCUUUGGAAACUGUAUGGCUGGAGUGCAGGAGAGGUAAGUGGAAUUCCUAGUGUAGCGGUGAAAUGCGUAGAUAUUAGGAGGAACACCAGUGGCGAAGGCGGCUUACUGGACUGUAACUGACGUUGAGGCUCGAAAGCGUGGGGAGCAAACAGGAUUAGAUACCCCUGUAGUC
This 443-nucleotide ribosomal RNA is filed under the name uncultured bacterium. RNAcentral's name for it is "partial 16S ribosomal RNA". It matches the Rfam family "Bacterial small subunit ribosomal RNA", at positions 338 to 795 of the family's 1533-position model. The record is from RNAcentral.